This 256-nucleotide ribosomal RNA is filed under the name uncultured Glomus. RNAcentral's name for it is "partial 18S ribosomal RNA". It matches the Rfam family "Eukaryotic small subunit ribosomal RNA", at positions 624 to 885 of the family's 1831-position model. The record is from RNAcentral. Lineage: Eukaryota; Fungi; Glomeromycota; Glomeromycetes; Glomerales; Glomeraceae.
AAGCUCGUAGUUGAAUUUCGGGAUUAGUACGUCGGUCGUACCUUAGGUACGUACUGGUGUUACUGGUUCCUACCUUCUGACGAACCAUCAUGUCAUUAAUUUGGUGUGGUGGGGAAUCAGGACUGUUACUUUGAAAAAAUUAGAGUGUUUAAAGCAGGCUCGCGCUUGAAUACAUUAGCAUGGAAUAAUGAAAUAGGACGUUGAUCCUAUUUUGUUGGUUUCUAGGAUUGACGUAAUGAUUAAAGGGAUAGUUGGG